CAGUGGCUCGAUCUUGGUUCACUGCAACCUCCACCUCCCAGGUUCAAGCGAUUAAAGAUGGUUUUUAUUGUUAUACUCAGGACUGUUAUCUCUGGAGACACAUUUGCCUGUGUUUUAAUAUUGGCUCUGUUUCUUUCUCUGCAAACUGAGGAUAAUAACAACACCUAUGUUAUUCAGUUACUGUGAGAAUUAAAUUUAUUAACACAAUAGUAUUAUAGUUAAUGCUCAGUACAAAUUAACAAUUAAUAAGAUAUGUAUAUGCUGAAUUACACUAGUAUGUUAAGAUGGAAAUGCCCUUUUAUAGCACGAGUUUUUUGAUCAAUAUAUUUAAUUUUUAAAAAUAAAUGUUGUAUAGAUACACAAUGAAAUACUAUUCAGCCUUAAAAGGUGGUAAAUUUCAUCAUUUGAAACAAUAUAGAUAAAUUUAGAAGACAUCAUACUAGAUGGAAUAAUCCUGACACAGAAAGACAAAUACUACAUGAUUAUAUAUAUAUAUACACAUACACACACACACAGAAUAAAGUUUAACUCGGGGUGCAAAGCAAGCCGCUAGAUCCAUAAAGAACCCAGCCAACCUGCAAAGGGAGGGGAGGGGAUGAGCUGUGAGGAGAGCGGGGCCCAAGAACCAUGUCUACCCGGGAGUCCUUUAACCUGGAAAGUUACAAAUUGGACAAAAGCUUCCGGCUAACCAGAUUCACUGAACUUAAGGCUGCAAAAUGCCCCAAGAUAUCCUGCAAAAAUUGCUGGAAUCUUUACAGGCGAACCACUUCCAAGAAGAUGAGCAAUUUUUGGAAGCCGUUAUGCCAAGGCUUGGCAUUGGAAUGGAUACUUGUGUCAUUCCUUUGAGACACAGUGGGCUUUCCUUGGUUCAAAUCACAGAUUACAUUUACCUGAUCGUAGACGACUCCUAUAUGAUGGGCAGGAUAGCAUGUGCCAAUGUCCUCAGUGACCUCUAUGCAAUGGGGGUCACGGAAUGUGGCAAUAUGCUGAUGCUCCUUAGAGUCAAUAAUAAAAUGAUCGACAGGGAAAGAGAUAAAGUGAUGCUUCUGAUUAUCCAAGGUUUUAAAGAUGCAGCUGAAUAAACAGGAACAUCUGUAACAGGCAGCCAAACAGUACUAAACCCCUGGAUUGUCCUGGGAGGAGUCGCUACCACUGUCUGCCAGCCCAGUGAAUUUAUCAUGCCAGACAAUGCAGUGCCAGGGGACGUGCUGGUGUUGACAAAACCCCUGGGGACACAGGUGGCAGUGACUGUGCACCAGUGGCUGGAUAUUCCUGAGAAAUGGAAUAAGAUUAAACUAGUGGUCACCCAAGAAGAUGUAGAGCUGGCCUACCAGAAGGUGACGAUGAACAUGGGGAGGCUCAACAGGACAGGCGGCCUUCUGAUCUGUUUACCACGUGAGCAAGCAGCUCGGUUCUGUGCAGAGAUAAAGUCCUCCAGAUGUGGUGAAGGCCACCAAGCAUGAUUAUUGGGAUUGUAGAGAAGGGCAACCACACAGCCAGAAUCAUAGACAAACCCUGGAUCAUCAAGAUUGCACCACAAGUGGCCACUCAAAAUGUGAAUCCCACACCUGGGGCCACCUCUUAAUCUAGACAGAAAUAGCUGUUUGGUUUUGUUUUUAAAUAGAUCUAUUUCCGUUAUCGUCACUUCAAUUAAAGACUAUAAGCAACAAAAAUCUCAUUAUAUCUACACAUCGGGUGACCUUAGGUCGGUUUGUAAGUGGAUACAAUUAAUAAAAUAAAAUCCAUUGCCUUUUUUUCUUGUUACAUUAACUGAAGAUGCACCUAAUCUUGAGGCAGCAUCUGAGUUAAGAAUUAUAUUGUUAUCUAAUACUGAUGACUCAUUUUGAAUCUUUCGACACUUAUCUCUUGCCACAUAGGCUCUUUUUAAAGGUGCUUUCACAUAGCACAGACAUAACCAGUAGUCGUGUCAAAUAGCAGUUGGUGUCUUCAUUUUACGUAUAUUUAUCAUAUAAGUUUGAUUUUUUUUAAGGGUCUUGAAUGGUUUUCUGGAGAGACAGCAUUGGUCAGUGGCACAUGAUGGCAUCCCAGUCAUAAGAAGGUUGCAUGAUUCCUUUGAAUGUUUGAUUUGAAAAGCCUAGUCUUGUCUCUCAAGAGCAUCUCGGACCCAGAACAUUCUCCAGUAGUGCAUUGGUUCAACACGGCAAGUGCUUCGCUCCUUGGAAGACACUUUGAAGACAAAAAAGAAAUAUUAUUUCUUUUUUUUUUAUGUAGCCUUCCUGAUAUUUACAGUAAUCCCACUAACUGUUUUCUUUAUUGAUAGCAAAAAAAGGAUACUUUUUGCAAUGUUCUAUAGUGCUAUAAGGAAUUGCCUUCCAAAUGGAGGUUCAUGUAUAAUACUCAUUUACAAUUCAAUAUAUAAAUAAUUUUUAAAUAUAAUCAAUAAUAAAGACUGUUCUGUGGAUGGUAGUGUUUAAUACAUUUUAUAUUUUGUAUAGUGAUUUUAGGCCUUUUGUUUUCUUAAAAUCAGCAGCUUUUUAGCCUAAUUCUUAGCAUUAUUUUGUCCUUUGUGCCAGUAUGUUUUUGUGCACGCUUUUUGUGAUCUGUGGCAAAAACCUGCAUUGCCAACAUUGCAGCUGGAACUUAAACUUGUUAUUCAAAUACAUAUUUAUUUUUUUAAUUACUCUU
Molecule: non-coding RNA, 2646 nt
Organism: Macaca mulatta (Rhesus monkey)
Lineage: Eukaryota; Metazoa; Chordata; Mammalia; Primates; Cercopithecidae
Source: RefSeq, a predicted model, not a curated record